ACGGGAGGCAGCAGUGAGGAAUAUUGGUCAAUGGGCGGAAGCCUGAACCAGCCAAGUCGCGUGAAGGAUGAAGGUAUUAUGUAUUGUAAACUUCUUUAGACGCAGGGAAAUAAGCGGGUCGUGACCCGUGAUGCUAGUAUGCGUAGAAUAAGGAUCGGCUAACUCCGUGCCAGCAGCCGCGGUAAUACGGAGGAUCCGAGCGUUAUCCGGAUUUAUUGGGUUUAAAGGGUGCGCAGGCGGCGUGUUAAGUCAGCGGUGAAAGCGUGUAGCUCAACUAUACCAAGCCGUUGAAACUGGCGUCCUUGAGUGUAAACGAGGUAGGCGGAAUGUGAUGUGUAGCGGUGAAAUGCUUAGAUAUGUCACAGAACCCCGAUUGCGAAGGCAGCUUACCAGCAUACGACUGACGCUGAGGCACGAAAGCGUGGGUAUCAAACAGGAUUAGAUACCCUGGUA
This 453-nucleotide ribosomal RNA is filed under the name uncultured Porphyromonadaceae bacterium. RNAcentral describes it as "partial 16S ribosomal RNA". It matches the Rfam family "Bacterial small subunit ribosomal RNA", at positions 341 to 792 of the family's 1533-position model. Lineage: Bacteria; Pseudomonadati; Bacteroidota; Bacteroidia; Bacteroidales; Porphyromonadaceae. The record is from RNAcentral.